AGAGUUUGAUCCUGGCUCAGAUUGAACGCUGGCGGCAGGCCUAACACAUGCAAGUCGAACGGUAACAGGAAGAAGCUUGCUUCUUUGCUGACGAGUGGCGGACGGGUGAGUAAUGUCUGGGAAACUGCCUGAUGGAGGGGGAUAACUACUGGAAACGGUAGCUAAUACCGCAUAACGUCGCAAGACCAAAGAGGGGGACCUUCGGGCCUCUUGCCAUCGGAUGUGCCCAGAUGGGAUUAGCUUGUUGGUGGGGUAACGGCUCACCAAGGCGACGAUCCCUAGCUGGUCUGAGAGGAUGACCAGCCACACUGGAACUGAGACACGGUCCAGACUCCUACGGGAGGCAGCAGUGGGGAAUAUUGCACAAUGGGCGCAAGCCUGAUGCAGCCAUGCCGCGUGUAUGAAGAAGGCCUUCGGGUUGUAAAGUACUUUCAGCGGGGAGGAAGGGAGUAAAGUUAAUACCUUUGCUCAUUGACGUUACCCGCAGAAGAAGCACCGGCUAACUCCGUGCCAGCAGCCGCGGUAAUACGGAGGGUGCAAGCGUUAAUCGGAAUUACUGGGCGUAAAGCGCACGCAGGCGGUUUGUUAAGUCAGAUGUGAAAUCCCCGGGCUCAACCUGGGAACUGCAUCUGAUACUGGCAAGCUUGAGUCUCGUAGAGGGGGGUAGAAUUCCAGGUGUAGCGGUGAAAUGCGUAGAGAUCUGGAGGAAUACCGGUGGCGAAGGCGGCCCCCUGGACGAAGACUGACGCUCAGGUGCGAAAGCGUGGGGAGCAAACAAGGUUAGAUACCCUGGUAGUCCACGCCGUAAAC
This 810-nucleotide ribosomal RNA is filed under the name uncultured bacterium. Its description in RNAcentral is "bacterial SSU rRNA". It matches the Rfam family "Bacterial small subunit ribosomal RNA", at positions 8 to 807 of the family's 1533-position model. The record is from RNAcentral.